This is an unclassified non-coding RNA of Cavia aperea (Brazilian guinea pig), 110 nucleotides long. Its record names the gene Vault. It matches the Rfam family "Vault RNA". Rfam says of the family: This family of RNAs are found as part of the enigmatic vault ribonucleoprotein complex. The complex consists of a major vault protein (MVP), two minor vault proteins (VPARP and TEP1), and several small untranslated RNA molecules. NCBI's taxonomy places the organism in Eukaryota, Metazoa, Chordata, Mammalia, Rodentia, Caviidae. The record is from Ensembl.
GGGCUGGCUUUAGCCCAGCGGUUCCUUCAAGUCUGGCUUCCCAACCGCCCGGGCUGAUUGGUCCGAUUGGUCCUGUGGUUCGAGACCCGCGGGCACUCUCCGGUCCUUUA